RNAcentral lists this ribosomal RNA (825 nucleotides) under unidentified archaeon. Its description in RNAcentral is "bacterial SSU rRNA". It matches the Rfam family "Archaeal small subunit ribosomal RNA", at positions 1 to 834 of the family's 1478-position model. The record is from RNAcentral.
UCCGGUUGAUCCUGCCAGAGGUCACUGCUAUCGGGGUUCGAUUAAGCCAUGCGAGUCGAGAGGGUUCGGCCCUCGGCGUACUGCUCAGUAACACGUGGAUAACCUGCCCUAGGGGAGGGGAUAACCCCGGGAAACUGGGGAUAAUACCCUAUAGGUUACAGAUGCUGGAAUGCCCUGUAACCAAAAGCUCCGGCGCCCUAGGAUGGAUCUGCGGCCGAUUAGGUUGUUGUUGGGGUAACGGCCCAACAAGCCCGUAAUCGGUACGGGUUGUGGGAGCAAGAGCCCGGAGUUGGAUUCUGAGACACGAAUCCAGGCCCUACGGGGCGCAGCAGGCGCGAAACCUUUACAAUGCGGGCAACCGUGAUAAGGGAACCUCGAGUGCCUGUAAACGCAGGCUGUUCAGGUGUUUAAAACGCACCUGGAGAAAGGGCCGGGCAAGACCGGUGCCAGCCGCCGCGGUAAUACCGGCGGCUCGAGUGGUGGCCGCUUUUAUUGGGCUUAAAGCGUUCGUAGCUGGGUUGUUAAGUCUCUUGGGAAAUCUGGCGGCUUAACCGUCAGGCGUCUAAGGGAUACUGGCAAUCUUGGAACCGGGAGAGGUGAGGGGUACUUCGGGGGUAGGGGGUGAAAUCCUGUAAUCCUCGAGGGACCACCUGUGGCGAAGGCGCCUCACCAGAACGGCUUCGACAGUGAGGGACGAAAGCUGGGGGAGCAAACCGGAUUAGAUACCCGGGUAGUCCCAGCCGUAAACGAUGCGCGUUAGGUGUAUCGGUGACCACGAGUUACCGAGGUGCCGAAGGGAAACCGUGAAAACGCGCCGCCUGGGAA